UAGGGAAUCUUCCACAAUGGACGCAAGUCUGAUGGAGCAACGCCGCGUGAGUGAAGAAGGUUUUCGGACCGUAAAGCUCUGUUGUUGGUGAAGAAGGAUAGAGGUAGUAACUGGCCUUUAUUUGACGGUAAUCAACCAGAAAGUCACGGCUAACUACGUGCCAGCAGCCGCGGUAAUACGUAGGUGGCAAGCGUUGUCCGGAUUUAUUGGGCGUAAAGCGAGCGCAGGCGGAAGAAUAAGUCUGAUGUGAAAGCCCUCGGCUUAACCGAGGAAUUGCAUCGGAAACUGUUUUUCUUGAGUGCAGAAGAGGAGAGUAGAACUCCAUGUGUAGCGGUGGAAUGCGUAGAUAUAUGGAAGAAUACCAGUGGCGAAGGCGGCUCUCUGGUCUGCAACUGACGCUGAGGCUCGAAAGCAUGGGUAGCGAACAGGAUUAGAUACCCUGGUAGUCCAUGCCGUAAACGAUGAGUGCUAAGUGUUGGGAGGCUUCCGCCUCUCAGUGCUGCAGCUAACGCAUUAAGCACUCCGCCUGGGGGAGUACGACCGCAAGGUUGAAACUCUAAGGAAUUGAC
This 569-nucleotide ribosomal RNA is filed under the name uncultured bacterium. RNAcentral's name for it is "partial 16S ribosomal RNA". It matches the Rfam family "Bacterial small subunit ribosomal RNA", at positions 355 to 914 of the family's 1533-position model. The record is from RNAcentral.